RNAcentral lists this transfer RNA (69 nucleotides) under Eupleres goudotii (falanouc). RNAcentral's name for it is "tRNA-Arg". It matches the Rfam family "tRNA". Rfam says of the family: Transfer RNA (tRNA) molecules are approximately 80 nucleotides in length. Their secondary structure includes four short double-helical elements and three loops (D, anti-codon, and T loops). Further hydrogen bonds mediate the characteristic L-shaped molecular structure. tRNAs have two regions of fundamental functional importance: the anti-codon, which is responsible for specific mRNA codon recognition, and the 3' end, to which the tRNAs corresponding amino acid is attached (by aminoacyl-tRNA synthetases). tRNAs cope with the degeneracy of the genetic code in two manners: having more than one tRNA (with a specific anti-codon) for a particular amino acid; and 'wobble' base-pairing, i.e. permitting non-standard base-pairing at the 3rd anti-codon position. Lineage: Eukaryota; Metazoa; Chordata; Mammalia; Carnivora; Eupleridae. The record is from RNAcentral.
UGAUAAUUAGUUUAAACCAAAACAAAUGAUUUCGACUCAUUAGACUAUAGUAUAUUCUAUAAUUAUCAA